CCUUGCCGCCUUCCUGCACUCUCCAGGACAACCUAGGUUAGUCUUGGAACUUCUCGCUGUUUUUCUAUUUUUUCUCCUUCGUGCUCUGUUCAUUUAGCUUCCUUGAGGGCCUGCUCGCUAUUUUUUCUGAUUUUUUCGAGAUUUUGUAGCUUUUGUUUAAUCCAAAAUAUCUUCUGAUAUCUCCUCUUCUAGUAGUUCUAAGAGUUCGUC
RNAcentral lists this long non-coding RNA (210 nucleotides) under Elaeis guineensis (African oil palm). RNAcentral's name for it is "long non-coding RNA (EGUI_LNC056330)". The record is from RNAcentral. Lineage: Eukaryota; Viridiplantae; Streptophyta; Magnoliopsida; Arecales; Arecaceae.